Molecule: non-coding RNA, 143 nt
Filed under: Nocardiopsis sp.
Lineage: Bacteria; Bacillati; Actinomycetota; Actinomycetes; Streptosporangiales; Nocardiopsidaceae
Also listed under: 1 other name
Description: SAM-I sequence
Rfam family: SAM riboswitch aptamer (S box leader)
About the family: The SAM riboswitch is found upstream of a number of genes which code for proteins involved in methionine or cysteine biosynthesis in Gram-positive bacteria. The SAM riboswitch acts at the level of transcription termination control.
Source: RNAcentral
UGCUCAUCCAGAGGGGUGGAGGGACCGGCCCUGCGAAGCCCCGGCAACCAUCUCGGUACGCGAGACUCACGUUCCCUGUGAGACGUCCGAGACAGGUGCCAACUCCGGCCUGGGGUCAAGGUGGCCACCAGGGAAGAUGAGGG